AACUUGAAUUUGGGUUUUUUAACUUAGAUUUGGGUGGCGGACGGGUGAGUAACGCGUAAAGAACUUGCCUCACAGCUAGGGACAACAUUUGGAAACGAAUGCUAAUACCUGAUAUUAUGAUUUUAAGGCAUCUUAGAAUUAUGAAAGCUAUACGCGCUGUGAGAGAGCUUUGCGUCCCAUUAGCUAGUUGGAGAGGUAACGGCUCACCAAGGCGAUGAUGGGUAGCCGGCCUGAGAGGGUGAACGGCCACAAGGGGACUGAGACACGGCCCUUACUCCUACGGGAGGCAGCAGUGGGGAAUAUUGGACAAUGGACCAAGAGUCUGAUCCAGCAAUUCUGUGUGCACGAUGACGUUUUUCGGAAUGUAAAGUGCUUUCAGUUGGGAAGAAAAAAAUGACGGUACCAACAGAAGAAGUGACGGCUAAAUACGUGCCAGCAGCCGCGGUAAUACGUAUGUCACGAGCGUUAUCCGGAUUUAUUGGGCGUAAAGCGCGUCUAGGUGGUUAUGUAAGUCUGAUGUGAAAAUGCAGGGCUCAACUCUGUAUUGCGUUGGAAACUGUGUAACUAGAGUACUGGUGAGGUAAGCGGAACUACAAGUGUAGAGGUGAAAUUCGUAGAUAUUUGUAGGAAUGCCGGUGGGGAAGCCAGCUUACUGGACAGAUACUGACGCUGAGGCGCGAAAGCGUGGGUAGCAAACAGGAUUAGAUACCCUGGUAGUCCACGCCGUAAACGAUGAUUACUAGGUGUUGGGGGUCGAACCUCAGCGCCCAAGCAUACGCGAUAAGUAAUCCGCCU
This 795-nucleotide ribosomal RNA is filed under the name uncultured Fusobacterium sp. RNAcentral's name for it is "bacterial SSU rRNA". It matches the Rfam family "Bacterial small subunit ribosomal RNA", at positions 65 to 874 of the family's 1533-position model. Lineage: Bacteria; Fusobacteriati; Fusobacteriota; Fusobacteriia; Fusobacteriales; Fusobacteriaceae. The record is from RNAcentral.